AUUUCUUCUGUUAGCCUGAAAGAUUCAUUUCUCUCUCUUCUCUCCCCUCUCCUCUCUCCCGGUUCAAAACUCCUCAAACCAUUCGCCCCUUUCCUCUCCCUCUCCCUCAUUCUCUGCAAUUUCAAAGAAGGUGUCUUCAUAAACCCCCUCAAUUUUGUUCUCUUUCUCUAUCCUCUUUCAACAUUUUUGAUGGUAGCUUUACUGCCUCGAGCAUGGUAUUCAGUGUAGAUCAAUGAUGUUAUGCCAAUGGUAGCACCAAUGAAGGUUUUGAAACCCGAGUUGUUGAGUGCUUGACGACUAGUCAAUCUGAAUCAGUUGUGAGUUCGAAAUUGAAAGAGUCCCAGGAGUUGAAAGGAUUUUGAUUAGAGAGAUGCACGUCAUUAAAAGGGGGUGAUGACUCUAGUUUGGAUGGUGGUAUUGACUCACUGAAGAAUUGCUCAUGCUCAUUUUGCAGCAAAGGUAUGUGCAAUCUUUUCCCCCGUUGAAUUGACCUAUAUUUGAUGAAGAUGGUUUUAAUCAAUUAGUGAUUUUGUUAUUUUCUGUUCUUUUGUAGAAUAGUUGGUUAUAUAUGGUCUGUUCUACAUUAUCAGGAUGUGAAAAGCCGAAUAUCAACUAAAAAACUAUUUCUUUAUGCCAACAUGUUAUGGUUUGAUCCAAGUUUUAUGCUAUCACUUAACAUUUAUGGUUCAAUCAUUUUUAGUAAUGGCAAAGAGUCAAAAGGAAGCUAACAAUUUGGUCCAAAAAUACUCUGUGGAAAAUGAAAUUGGAAGCCAUACCCAAGAGAGCUUCAAUAAUGUCGCCCAAUUAGAAACUGAUCUCACAAGUCAUUGGAGAUCCCUAUUUCUUCACAUGGAGGAUACGUUCGGUAGUGAAGGCAGCCAACUAAUCCACAUACUGGGGAUUGGCCAGAGUAAUGAUGCCACAUCAUACUCGGAACUUGAACAAAACAAUUUUCUUGCAUCGAAGGAUUUAAGAGAUGACUAUAAGAUGAAUUUAGAGAAGAUCAAUGAAAUGCCUUCGGAUGUGCAGCAAUGUUCUUCAAAUGGUUCCGAUCAUACGAUAGUCUAGGAAGUUUGGUCUUUGCAGGUGUGUAAUGGAUGGUAGAUUAAUUAGUUGGAAGACAGGAAAGCAUAUGUCGUCAAUUUGUUUAGUUUAGAUUUGCUUACAGUACUUUGAUUUAUUUCACUUUGUAAGAUAGUAUUUUGUAUAAUGUAAUAGUAUACAAACUCAUAUCUCUUGUACUCCUUAUUUGAAUAAUAAUAACGAGACGUGUUUAGUA
Molecule: long non-coding RNA, 1279 nt
Organism: Spinacia oleracea (spinach)
Lineage: Eukaryota; Viridiplantae; Streptophyta; Magnoliopsida; Caryophyllales; Amaranthaceae
Exons: 5
Source: RefSeq, a predicted model, not a curated record